GAUGAAGAACGCAGCGAAAUGCGAUACUUGGUGUGAAUUGCAGAAUCCCGUGAACCAUCGAGUCUUUGAACGCAAGUUGCGCCCGAAGCCACUAGGCCGAGGGCACGCCUGCCUGGGCGUCACAUGCCGUUGCCCCCCCAUCUACUCCUUCGGGAUUGCGGGGGGGCGGAUGAUGGCCUCCUGUGCGCCUAGCCGCGCGGUUGGCAUAAAUACCAAGUCCUCGGCGACGCACGCCACGACAAUCGGUGGUUGCGAAACCUCGGUUGCCCGUCGUGUGCGUUCGUCGCGCAUCGAGGGCUCGAAAAAAUGCUCGGCUCCGGCUGGGCUUUCAACGCGACCCCAGGUCAGGCGGGGUUACCCGCUGAAUUUAAGCAUAUCAAUAAGCGGAGGA
RNAcentral lists this unclassified non-coding RNA (391 nucleotides) under soil metagenome. Its description in RNAcentral is "partial contains 5.8S ribosomal RNA, internal transcribed spacer 2, and large subunit ribosomal RNA". The stretch from base 1 to 122 matches the Rfam family "5.8S ribosomal RNA", at positions 35 to 154 of the family's 154-position model. The record is from RNAcentral.